GAGAUCCCUGCUUAUCUGAGGUCUUCUGAAGUUGGUUCAGGGUGCAUGGCACACAGUGUGCUUGGCUGAGAAUUUCCAGGCAGGGCGAGGAUCCUUAUUAGGAAAAUCCAUUCCCUUCAGGGAGAGCUGCCUCCAGACCCUGGGAGCCCUGGAACAACUGCAGCUGUGCCUUGCAGUAAUCUGGGAAGCGAGAGAAAGAUUAGACUGAUUGGGAAAUAAACUUAAAUGAUACAAUGUUUGUAAUGGACAGCUUUUCUGCUGUCUCUGCAUAUAUUGAAAAUCUGUGUUAUUUGAUGUUGCUUCUCCUUUUCCCACCAAAUGUUUUGUGGCUUGCUCUGAAGCUCUAGCAGACUCCUGCUGUGGUACCUGACUUUUAAUCUGAAGGUCAAAAGGCUGGGCUCAUUCAACAGCAAACUCUAUGGUCACCAAAGUGUCGCUGAAGCCAUGUCCCAAGAUACAUCCUGGUAAGGUUUUCCAGAAGUGAAAAGAUGACAGUUCUGACAAAAGCCAAUGAAGUGGGAAUUAUCAAAGCAACAUCAAAGGGGAGUGCAUUCACUGAAGAAAAUAGAAGUUUCCUUCUGGGACUGGGGGGAAGGACAGAAAUGAAAUGAAGCUUUCUCGUAGAUAUUAUAGAGAAACUCUUUGCAGGCUUGGCUGAAAGAUGUUUUCCUAACAGUAUAAUUAGUCUACGAUAAUUUUUGAGUCUGCAUUACUUUUGAGAGAUUGUUUUUCUGGGCAAUCAGACCUUUGGAACCUGCGUUAACAGAACAGAAGAAGUUCUCCUAUAAUAGUCCUCUGGAUGCAGAAACAUGAUGUCACCUAGAAAAAGCAACACAGAAAUCAUAAACUGAAUGUGAAUUUGCUGAAGAGGAUCGUUAUGUGCUCCUUAGCUCAGAAUUGUGUGAUGCCUCCUUACAGGGGAGACUCUGAAGAGGCAUUCAAAAUGGAGUACUUGAUAUGCUUCGUGUAAAAACCAGUGUCUUAGUGGAAACUGUGCAUGGUGUUUUAAUAUUCAUGGUUUUGCUGGGGAGAAGGAAAAAAAAGAAAAAUCCAGGUUGCUGUUUCUAAAUGAGUUCUAGCAGUGACCCAUACAGUCCACCCUCUUCUUUUACACAUGCACACAAGGGAUCUCUCACAAUAAAGAGUGCUAAGUUUGCAUGCUUAAAUCUAAAAUCCUGCUUAAAUAGAGUUUAACUAAGACCUUAACUCUCUUGACAUUAGACCUAAUAAUUAUUAAGCAAAGCAAGUACUGUCUUUUA
This is a long non-coding RNA of Lagopus leucura (white-tailed ptarmigan), 1259 nucleotides long. RefSeq lists it as uncharacterized. The transcript has 2 exons. Lineage: Eukaryota; Metazoa; Chordata; Aves; Galliformes; Phasianidae. The record is from RefSeq and is a predicted model, not a curated record.